Molecule: unclassified non-coding RNA, 215 nt
Filed under: Pseudomonas coleopterorum
Lineage: Bacteria; Pseudomonadati; Pseudomonadota; Gammaproteobacteria; Pseudomonadales; Pseudomonadaceae
Description: Pseudomonas sRNA P29
Source: RNAcentral
AAACUACAAGGGGAGCCGAAGCUCCCCAAGAAGUAGUUGCGUGCUCUGUUUUUAUUUUUUGUCGGGCUUCUUGUUUUUGUUGAGUGCCCUGUCCACCGAACCUGGGUUCGGGGGUGGCUCCCUAUUCGGGAGCAAGAGCAAACGGAUUGCUUUGGUCGCUGUGCUGUGAUGAUCGCGGUGAUCCAACCAGUUCUGGCUUCUGCUUCAAAGCAGUU